This 492-nucleotide ribosomal RNA is filed under the name uncultured bacterium. RNAcentral describes it as "bacterial SSU rRNA". It matches the Rfam family "Bacterial small subunit ribosomal RNA", at positions 501 to 996 of the family's 1533-position model. The record is from RNAcentral.
CUACGUGCCAGCAGCCGCGGUAAUACGGAAGGUCCAGGCGUUAUCCGGAUUUAUUGGGUUUAAAGGGAGUGUAGGCGGUCUGUUAAGCGUGUUGUGAAAUUUAGGUGCUCAACAUCUACCUUGCAGCGCGAACUGGCGGACUUGAGUGCACGCAACGUAUGCGGAAUUCAUGGUGUAGCGGUGAAAUGCUUAGAUAUCAUGACGAACUCCGAUCGCGAAGGCAGCCUGCGGGAGUGUUACUGACGCUUAAGCUCGAAGGUGCGGGUAUCGAACAGGAUUAGAUACCCUGGUAGUCCGCACAGUAAACGAUGGAUGCCCGCCGUUGGCGCCCUGCGCCUGCGGCCAAGCGAAAGCAUUAAGCAUCCCACCUGGGGAGUACGCCGGCAACGGUGAAACUCAAAGGAAUUGACGGGGGCCCGCACAAGCGGAGGAACAUGUGGUUUAAUUCGAUGAUACGCGAGGAACCUUACCCGGGCUUGAAUUGCAGUCGCU